UACAGAGGUGGCGAGCGUUAUUCGGAAUUAUUGGGCGUAAAGGGCGCGUAGGCGGCCAGAUAAGUCCCGGGUGAAAUCCCUCGGCUCAACCGAGGAACUGCCUUGGAAACUGUCUGGCUCGAGGCCGGGAGAGGGUAGUGGAAUUCCCAGUGUAGCGGUGAAAUGCGUAGAUACUGGGAGGAACACCGGUGGCGAAGGCGGCUACCUGGACCGGUUCUGACGCUGAUGCGCGAAAGCGUGGGGAGCAAACAGG
RNAcentral lists this ribosomal RNA (253 nucleotides) under uncultured bacterium. Its description in RNAcentral is "partial 16S ribosomal RNA". It matches the Rfam family "Bacterial small subunit ribosomal RNA", at positions 524 to 776 of the family's 1533-position model. The record is from RNAcentral.